Molecule: non-coding RNA, 77 nt
Organism: Lamprotornis superbus
Lineage: Eukaryota; Metazoa; Chordata; Aves; Passeriformes; Sturnidae
Source: the annotation of a GenBank genome assembly
GAUCCUGAGAUUAGCUCAGUUGGUUAGAGCCCAGUGCUAAUAAUGCCAAGGUUUGGGUUCAAUCCCCGUAUGGACCA